GCUCCCGCCUCUCCCUCCACACCUCCCUGCAAGCUGAGGGAGCGGGCUCCUCCUUGGCCAGCCCAGAAAGGGGCUCCCACAGUGCAGCGGUGGGCUGAAGGGCUCCUCAAGUGCCCCCAAAGUGGGAGCCCAGGCAGAGGGGGCGCCGAGAGCGAGCGAGGGCUGUGAGGACUGCCAGCACGCUGUCACCUCUCACAAGGAAGGCCGCUGUGGAGCGUGGAGGAAGCGCUCCCGGGCGGGAAGGCCGCUGUGGAGACUGGAGGAAGCGCUUCCGGGCGGGGAAGGCCGUUGCGCAGCCUGGAGGAAGCGCUUCUGGGUGGGGAAGGCCGCUGGGAGCAUGAACUUCUGAGCAGGCACUUCUUUCUCCUGCUGCCCUGUGAAGAGGCACAUUCCAUCACAAUUCUAAGUUUCCUGAGGCCUCCCCAGCCAUGUGGAACUGUGA
This 442-nucleotide long non-coding RNA is filed under the name Homo sapiens (human). RNAcentral's name for it is "HSALNT0082328". The record is from RNAcentral. Lineage: Eukaryota; Metazoa; Chordata; Mammalia; Primates; Hominidae.